ACCAGACUCCUACGGGAGGCAGCAGUGGGGAAUAUUGCACAAUGGGGGAAACCCUGAUGCAGCGACGCCGCGUGAGUGAAGAAGUAUUUCGGUAUGUAAAGCUCUCUCAGCAGGGAAGAAAAUGACGGUACCUGAUUAAGAAGCCCCGGCUAACUACGUGCCAGCAGCCGCGGUAAUGCGUAGGGGGCAAGCGUUAUCCGGAUUUACUGGGUGUAAAGGGAGCGUAGACGGUGCAGCAAGUCUGGAGUGAAAGGCAGGGGCCCAACCCCUGGACUGCUUUGGAAACUGUUUGACUGGAGUGCAGGAGAGGUAAGUGGAAUUCCUAGUGUAGCGGUGAAAUGCGUAGAUAUUAGGAGGAACACCAGUGGCGAAGGCGGCUUACUGGACUGUAACUGACGUUGAGGCUCGAAAGCGUGGGGAGCAAACAGGAUUAGAUACCCCUGUA
This 445-nucleotide ribosomal RNA is filed under the name uncultured bacterium. RNAcentral describes it as "bacterial SSU rRNA". It matches the Rfam family "Bacterial small subunit ribosomal RNA", at positions 330 to 792 of the family's 1533-position model. The record is from RNAcentral.